CUCAUUAAGGCUGAGCUGUGAUGGGGAGAAGACAUUGUGUCUUCGAGUCGUUGAUUUCACACUGCCGAGAAAAGCCUCUAGAUAGAAAAUAGGUGCCCGUACCGCAAACCGACACAGGUAGUCAAGAUGAGAAUUCUAAGGUGAGCGAGCGAACUCUCGUUAAGGAACUCGGCAAAAUGACCCCGUAACUUCGGGAGAAGGGGUGCUCUUUAGGGUUAACGCCCAGAAGAGCCGCAGUGAAUAGGCCCAAGCGACUGUUUAUCAAAAACACAGGUCUCUGCUAAACCGUAAGGUGAUGUAUAGGGGCUGACGCCUG
This 316-nucleotide ribosomal RNA is filed under the name Escherichia coli. RNAcentral's name for it is "partial 23S ribosomal RNA". It matches the Rfam family "Bacterial large subunit ribosomal RNA", at positions 1546 to 1861 of the family's 2925-position model. Lineage: Bacteria; Pseudomonadati; Pseudomonadota; Gammaproteobacteria; Enterobacterales; Enterobacteriaceae. The record is from RNAcentral.